Long non-coding RNA from Stomoxys calcitrans (stable fly), 1762 nucleotides. RefSeq lists it as uncharacterized. The record is from RefSeq and is a predicted model, not a curated record. The transcript has 3 exons. Lineage: Eukaryota; Metazoa; Arthropoda; Insecta; Diptera; Muscidae.
CAUAUCGUAUACUCGGUAACGGUCGAAGUGAUUGUAACGGUUCGUGUAAGUCAAAGUGUAACUCUCGCGCGCGCCUUUAUCAGUGCUAGUGCAAACUAAACAGCUUUGUUUUUUUUCGAAAGUUUGGGCUUGAACAAAGUGCCGCUGGUUAAAAUACAAAAAGGCAAGACACUAAAAUUCAUAUGAAAUUAUAUUUUUGUGUGUGCGAAUCCGAAUAAAAGUAAAAUUGGUUUUGUAAAAGAAAUAAAGAGAUGCUUAGUCACCAUGCACACACAUGCAUAGAUAGCCAGCAAGUUAUAUGCAUGUCAGAUCUUCAAUCAAAAUAUCUCAAAGGAGAAAAGUGUGUUUGAGAAAAAAAAAAUGCAAAAUAGUUUUGAUUUGGUUUAAUGUUUCGUAAAAUAUUAGCGGUUUCAAGCAAGAGCAAAAGCGGUCACCAAUAAACGUCCAAGAAGAAAAAGAAGAGGCGAGCAAAGAUUUCUACAUUGUUUGCUGCAAAUUAAAACAAAUCAAGCGUAAGUCUGCUGCACUCAUUCGAUCCGGGCAACUAAGACGACAUAUUUUUUGGCCGCAUUCCCAAAAUCAUUGCAAUCAAUCGACAAAUAUUCAAUAAAAAAACUCAGUGUGUGGCAGUAUUGCAGCUGAAUCCCAUCCUAUUGUGUUGUAGAGGGGAAUGUACAUAAAACCCACUGAAUGUUGUGGAUGCUGUGGCGACACCAGUCAAUGGUUGUGUUGUUGUUGUCUUGUUAUGGCUGGACGACUUUUGUUGUAGACAUUAAAAAUAUUUCAUCAACAUUAUCUGGAACUUGAUUACAAGAAACGUGAAAGAAAGGCAGCAGCGUAAACAAAAAAAAAGUCAACUAAAACAUGCCUUAAAUUUAAGCCCGCUUUUGUGUUUGCAAUUCAAGCCAUUGAUAUUGCUCUUCCACACGCACACUAUCAUCUCUCUGAAAAAAGGAACUAUUUACGAGCAAUUGAAGAUAACUCUCACCGGCGUUGGCAAGUGUCUUGUGCCGGCUUUGUAGCAAGAAAAGAAGUGUGCAAAUUUUUUUAAACAUUUUUUAUGCAUCUCACACAAGAUUUAUGAAUGAAUUGUAUUUGUUGUGUUUCGGCAGCAGUGAGAUUUGGAGAGCAAGUGAGUGAAAGCCGGAUUUCAAACAUUUGUGACUUUAAACUACAACAACAAUGUUUCAUUAAUGUCAUUUGGCAAGUUUCCAAUGCUGCCAUGCUGCACAUAAAUCAAUGGACCAAGCCGGCCGCGGAUAGCCACUGAGAGGCCUAAAGUACAUUAAAGAUUGACGAGAAUUCGGUUGUGGAGUCUCUUUAUCCAUACGCAAAGAAAAUGCUAUAAAACCAAAAGUGUCUUAUAACCAAAUUUCGAGACACAACUCAUCAUCUUCAUCAUCAACAACAACAUCAUCGGCCAGAUUAACAGUUCAUUCAUCAUUGCUGCUGCAGCUUCAGUCUUCAAUUUUCUUCUGCCGCAGCCUUUAAGUCGAGAAACGACGUGCUGCUAUUUGUGUCAUUAUAUCGUAACGUAGUUAUUCGCCAUAUUAAUCCCAUUUUCCAUUGGCCUUAAUAAGUGGCCAGCGUUACCGCCACACUGCAUUGCAUUGGAUUGAACGCCUUGGCGUUCUUCAUUUAAGGCCGUUCAAGCUGUCACCGUAGAAAUGCAGAAUAUCGGUCGAUGUUCGCCGCUGCUGCUGCUGUUACUGUUUUUGGUCUGUUCGCUUUACGCUGUUUCAACGGAGGCGUCUCGGUCAAG